This 777-nucleotide long non-coding RNA is filed under the name Hordeum vulgare. RNAcentral's name for it is "long non-coding RNA (HVUL_LNC008865)". Lineage: Eukaryota; Viridiplantae; Streptophyta; Magnoliopsida; Poales; Poaceae. The record is from RNAcentral.
UUGGUGGAGUCCACGUGGCGGUGGCUCCUGGGGCACGGUCAACGCGCACAGGGCGAUGCGCUCCGCUCCACCUCCUCUCAAACAGGAGGCAACAGCAGGAGGUGGUGACUCGCUUGGGAGGUUGACGGGGAUGGGCUCCAUCGGCGGAUGGCAUGGGCGGCAUGGAGGGGAUUAGAUCCGGGCAAGACAGGACCGAUCUGUCCAGCAGCAAGGUCCCGCACAUGCGAGAGGUGCCGACAAAAGAACUUCAAGGUGGUGUGGUUUCCUAGCCAUGGUAGAGGGAGAGAGAGGUUAGACGGGAGAGGAGAGAUUGGGAGAAGGAGGAGAGGUCACGGGGGCACCAGCUUGGUGGCUCGCCGUCGACGAACGUCUACCAAAGUGGGAGCUCAUGGCCGGGGUGCGGCUUGAUCGGGAGGAGCUCAUCUCCUCCCAGAUCGAGACGAGGUGCGGAGGCAGCGACAUACAUGCGACGGCUGGAUCCGUGCUCGGGCGGGCCGGAUCUGGGUUUCGGUGGGCCCGUAUGGCUAGGAGGUAGGAGCAGACCUGGCCAAACAGACCAGCACGGCAGGGCCCGACCCGGCCCGUGGUAAUUGGGCCUGGUACGACACGGCCCGCUCAGGCACGUUUAUUCGUCGCGCCGUGUCGUGCCGGCCCAUGGGCUGCGCCUCUAGGCCCAGACAUGGCUCAAUUAUUAAAUGGACUGUCAUGUUGGUCCGAUUAGCACGCUCGGCCGCAUUUUUCUAGCUUUAUGGGCUUAUUUUUAGGCCUAUUGGGCCA